GACGAACGCUGGCGGCGUGCUUAACACAUGCAAGUCGAACGGAAAGGCCCUGCUUUUGUGGGGUGCUCGAGUGGCGAACGGGUGAGUAACACGUGAGUAACCUGCCCUUGACUUUGGGAUAACUUCAGGAAACUGGGGCUAAUACCGGGGAGGAGCUCCUGCUGCAUGGUGUGGGUUGGAAAGUGUCGGCUGUUGUGGAUGGACUCGCGGCUUAUCAGCUUGUUGGUGGGGUAGUGGCUUACCAGGCCUUUGACGGGUAGCCCGCCUGGGAGGGUGACCGGCCACAAUGGGCCUGAGAUACGGCCCAGACGCCUACGGGCGGCAGCAGUGGGGAGUAUUGCGCAAUGGGCGGAAGCCUGAUGCAGCAACGCCGCGUGCGGGAUGACGGCCUUCGGGUUGUAAACCGCUUUCGCCUGUGCCGAAGCGUGAGUGACGGUAAUGGGUAAAGAAGCCCCGGCUAACUACGUG
Molecule: ribosomal RNA, 468 nt
Filed under: uncultured bacterium
Lineage: Bacteria
Description: partial 16S ribosomal RNA
Rfam family: Bacterial small subunit ribosomal RNA
Source: RNAcentral